RNAcentral lists this ribosomal RNA (2875 nucleotides) under Helicobacter pylori. RNAcentral's name for it is "bacterial LSU rRNA". It matches the Rfam family "Bacterial large subunit ribosomal RNA". The record is from RNAcentral. Lineage: Bacteria; Pseudomonadati; Campylobacterota; Epsilonproteobacteria; Campylobacterales; Helicobacteraceae.
UUAAGAGCAGAUGGCGGAUGCCUUGCCAAAGAGAGGCGAUGAAGGACGUACUAGACUGCGAUAAGCUAUGUGGAGCUGUCAAGGAGCUUUGAUGCGUAGAUGUCCGAAUGGGGCAACCCAACUAAUAGAGAUAUUAGUUACUCUUUAACAGAGAGCGAACCUAGUGAAGUGAAACAUCUCAGUAACUAGAGGAAAAGAAAUCAACGAGAUUCCCUAAGUAGUGGCGAGCGAACGGGGAAAAGGGCAAACCGAGUGCUUGCAUUCGGGGUUGAGGACUGCAACAUCCAAGAGAACGCUUUAGCAGAGUUACCUGGAAAGGUAAGCCAUAGAAAGUGAUAGCCUUGUAUGCGACAAGGCGUUCUUAGGUAGCAGGAUCCAGAGUAGGCCAGGACACGAGAAAUCCAGGUUGAAGCCGGGGAGACCACUCUCCAACCCUAAAUACUACUCUUUGAGCGAUAGCGAACAAGUACCGUGAGGGAAAGGUGAAAAGAACCGCAGUGAGCGGAGUGAAAUAGAACCUGAAACCAUCUGCUUACAAUCAUUCAGAGCCCUAUGAUUUAUCAGGGUGAUGGACUGCCUUUUGCAUAAUGAUCCUGCGAGUUGUGGUAUCUGGCAAGGUUAAGCGAAUGCGAAGCCGUAGCGAAAGCGAGUCUUAAUAGGGCGAACAAGUCAGAUGCUGCAGACCCGAAGCUAAGUGAUCUAUCCAUGGCCAAGUUGAAACGCGUGUAAUAGCGCGUGGAGGACUGAACUCGUACCCAUUGAAACGGGUUGGGAUGAGCUGUGGAUAGGGGUGAAAGGCCAAACAAACUUAGUGAUAGCUGGUUCUCUUCGAAAUAUAUUUAGGUAUAGCCUCAAGUGAUAAUAAAAGGGGGUAGAGCCCUGAUUGGGCUAGGGCUGCUCGCCGCGGUACCAAACCCUAUCAAACUUCGAAUACCUUUUAUCGUAUCUUGGGAGUCAGGCGGUGGGUGAUAAAAUCAAUCGUCAAAAGGGGAACAACCCAGACUACCAAAUAAGGUCCCUAAGUUCUAUUCUGAGUGGAAAAAGAUGUGUGGCUACUCAAACAACCAGGAGGUUGGCUUAGAAGCAGCCAUCCUUUAAAGAAAGCGUAACAGCUCACUGGUCUAGUGGUCAUGCGCUGAAAAUAUAACGGGGCUAAGAUAGACACCGAAUUUGUAGAUUGUGUUAAACACAGUGGUAGAAGAGCGUUCAUACCAGCGUUGAAGGUAUACCGGCAAGGAGUGCUGGAGCGGUAUGAAGUGAGCAUGCAGGAAUGAGUAACGAUAAGAUAUAUGAGAAUUGUAUCCGCCGUAAAUCUAAGGUUUCCUACGCGAUGGUCGUCAUCGUAGGGUUAGUCGGGUCCUAAGCCGAGUCCGAAAGGGGUAGGUGAUGGCAAAUUGGUUAAUAUUCCAAUACCGACUAUGGAGCGUGAUGGGGGGACGCAUAGGGUUAAGCGAGCUAGCUGAUGGAAGCGCUAGUCUAAGGGCGUAGAUUGGAGGGAAGGCAAAUCCACCUCUGUAUUUGAAACCCAAACAGGCUCUUUGAGUCCUUUUAGGACAAAGGGAGAAUCGCUGAUACCGUCGUGCCAAGAAAAGCCUCUAAGCAUAUCCAUAGUCGUCCGUACCGCAAACCGACACAGGUAGAUGAGAUGAGUAUUCUAAGGCGCGUGAAAGAACUCUGGUUAAGGAACUCUGCAAACUAGCACCGUAAGUUCGCGAUAAGGUGUGCCACAGCGAUGUGGUCUCAGCAAAGAGUCCCUCCCGACUGUUUACCAAAAACACAGCACUUUGCCAACUCGUAAGAGGAAGUAUAAGGUGUGACGCCUGCCCGGUGCUCGAAGGUUAAGAGGAUGCGUCAGUCGCAAGAUGAAGCGUUGAAUUGAAGCCCGAGUAAACGGCGGCCGUAACUAUAACGGUCCUAAGGUAGCGAAAUUCCUUGUCGGUUAAAUACCGACCUGCAUGAAUGGCGUAACGAGAUGGGAGCUGUCUCAACCAGAGAUUCAGUGAAAUUGUAGUGGAGGUGAAAAUUCCUCCUACCCGCGGCAAGACGGAGAGACCCCGUGGACCUUUACUACAACUUAGCACUGCUAAUGGGAAUAUCAUGCGCAGGAUAGGUGGGAGGCUUUGAAGUAAGGGCUUUGGCUCUUAUGGAGCCAUCCUUGAGAUACCACCCUUGAUGUUUCUGUUAGCUAACUGGCCUGUGUUAUCCACAGGCAGGACAAUGCUUGGUGGGUAGUUUGACUGGGGCGGUCGCCUCCUAAAAAGUAACGGAGGCUUGCAAAGGUUGGCUCAUUGCGGUUGGAAAUCGCAAGUUGAGUGUAAUGGCACAAGCCAGCCUGACUGUAAGACAUACAAGUCAAGCAGAGACGAAAGUCGGUCAUAGUGAUCCGGUGGUUCUGUGUGGAAGGGCCAUCGCUCAAAGGAUAAAAGGUACCCCGGGGAUAACAGGCUGAUCUCCCCCAAGAGCUCACAUCGACGGGGAGGUUUGGCACCUCGAUGUCGGCUCAUCGCAUCCUGGGGCUGGAGCAGGUCCCAAGGGUAUGGCUGUUCGCCAUUUAAAGCGGUACGCGAGCUGGGUUCAGAACGUCGUGAGACAGUUCGGUCCCUAUCUGCCGUGGGCGUAGGAAAGUUGAGGAGAGCUGUCCCUAGUACGAGAGGACCGGGAUGGACGUGUCACUGGUGCACCAGUUGUUCUGCCAAGAGCAUCGCUGGGUAGCUACACACGGAUGUGAUAACUGCUGAAAGCAUCUAAGCAGGAAGCCAACUCCAAGAUAAACUUUCCCUGAAGCUCGCACAAAGACUAUGUGCUUGAUAGGGUAGAUGUGUGAGUGCAGUAAUGCGUUUAGCUGACUACUACUAAUAGAGCGUUUGGCUUGUUU